This is a ribosomal RNA of 697 nucleotides. The stretch from base 276 to 430 matches the Rfam family "5.8S ribosomal RNA".
AGAGAAGUAAAAGUCGUAACAAGGUUUCCGUAGGUGAACCUGCGGAAGGAUCAUUACAGUAUGAUUAGGGGGUUGGAUGCUGGCCCGAGAGGGCAUGUGCGCGCCUCCAUUUCUAAUCCUACAAUACACACCUGUGCACCCCAUUGGCAAGCACCUCCCGCCAGUCAACCCUUUCGAGGGGGGGGGAAGGUCGGACCCGAGGUGCUUCCCUUCUUUUAUAAUCUCAGCCUGUUUGAAUGCAUGUUUAAAAGGGCUCUACGGAGCGAAUAUAAUACAACUUUCGACAACGGAUCUCUUGGCUUUUGCAUCGAUGAAGAACGCCGCGAAAGUGCGAAACGUAAUGUGAAUUGCAGAAUUCAGUGAAUCAUCGAAUCUUUGAACGCAUCUUGCGCCCCUUGGUAUUCCGAGGAGCAUGCCUGUUUGAGUGUCGUGAAACCUCAUCAACCUUUGCUUCUUUUGUUGGAAGGGAGGGUUGGAUUUGGAUGUUUGCGGCGGUCUGUCCGUCGCUCGUCUUUAAAUGCAUUAGCUGGCCCCCUCGAGUUGGUUCAACAACGGUGUGAUAAUAAACGUUUUGUUGACUGUGGUGCCGUUUGGCCGGCUCGAGUCGUUGGGUUGCUUAACACAGUCUUCGGACAAUGCUUUUCAUGCCAUCUGACCUCAGAUCAGGUAGGACUACCCGCUGAACUUAAGCAUAUCA